CAGAGCUUUCCACCAAGCCCAGUGAGAGGGCCAAGCUCCUGUCCCAGUACCAAUGCUGGUGCUGCUUCCUGCUGCUGCUGAAGAGAGCCCAGCCAGAAUCAAAUGAUCUAAAUGGGUUUAAGAGUAGAGCACUUCACCUGCCAGUUGGGUCUUAUUUUUCUGAAGAUAUGCUUUUCUUUUGUGAUCACGGAUCCCUUAGCCUUGAUCUUUCAAGAGCUGCCUGGGUGUUUGAAGAGCAACUUACCUUCCACUGAAGGGAAUCUUCCCACGUCUCCCUCCCCAGGAACUGAAGACAGAGAGGCCAAAGUGCGGUCCCUGCUGUCAAGGAUUCUGCCCUCUUCUUGGGGAAGCAAGACCCAUAUUCCUGGGAGAAAGACAGGUAAGUUAAGACCCAACCUGGUGCUUCCAAUAAGGGUGUAUGUGAGAAUAAGGAAAUAUUCAGACCAUUUUCCUAACCCAAACCGUCUAUCCCUUCUUUAGCCCAGCCUAUUGUGUCAAUUUUUUUCCCUCUGUUUCUCUUCCUCGAUUUAGUUGAGAAGGGGCAUAGAGUUAGAGAUGCCUAUAUAUGAUCUCCUUCAUCAAAUGUCUGCCUCUAACUUUUAAGCAGAUACUUCUAC
This 617-nucleotide long non-coding RNA is filed under the name Camelus dromedarius (Arabian camel). RNAcentral describes it as "lncRNA (ENSCDRG00005000349.1)". The record is from RNAcentral. Lineage: Eukaryota; Metazoa; Chordata; Mammalia; Artiodactyla; Camelidae.